This 178-nucleotide antisense RNA is filed under the name Limnothrix sp. P13C2. Its description in RNAcentral is "Antisense RNA which regulates isiA expression". It matches the Rfam family "Antisense RNA which regulates isiA expression". Lineage: Bacteria; Bacillati; Cyanobacteriota; Cyanophyceae; Pseudanabaenales; Pseudanabaenaceae. The record is from Rfam by way of RNAcentral.
GAUAGCCCCAAAUCGUGCCGAACUCCAGGGUGGGGUGCUCAACCAAGCGCACGGAGCCGAUCGCCGGGUCAUAGAGACCGCCCCAGGCCAUGGCCUUGGCCACCAACAGGAAGGCCCCCGAUCCCAACAGCAACAGGUGAAUGCCAAUAAUCGUGGUCAUUUUGUCCUUGUCGCGCCA